This is a long non-coding RNA of Labrus bergylta (ballan wrasse), 399 nucleotides long. RefSeq lists it as uncharacterized. The record is from RefSeq and is a predicted model, not a curated record. NCBI's taxonomy places the organism in Eukaryota, Metazoa, Chordata, Actinopteri, Labriformes, Labridae.
CUUCGAUGUUUGGACAUGAGGAGUAAUCUGGACACUAAGACGGCAUGUGAUGAAAAGUAGUUUGUUUAUAUUUUUGUUGAUUUGAGUUUUAAUUGCGUGAUACGAGAUAAGACCAUGUAUGAGGGCUUUAUUAAUUUGGGAUCACGUGUGUUCUUGUUUCCAAGCUGCACGGCCCAGAACACAAACUAUCCCGAGAGCCUCAAACCAUUUCCAGCUGUCACUUCCCUGCUCCGGUCUCUUACUCCUAACCUGAUAUGACAGGGCAAGAAGAGGAGCAUCCUGUGACCCCCGACCUCCCGGACAAUAGAGGCCAGGACGUUUCCCAGUGAGCGCCGAUGGAGCCAACAACAGGAACAUGAGGGGUGCUCCUGGGAAACAAACUGUUUAUUGUGCAGCAGG